AGAAUCAACGCUGGCGGCGUGCCUAACACAUGCAAGUCGCACGAGAAAGGGUAGCAAUACCUGAGUAAAGUGGCGCACGGGUGAGUAACACGUGAAUGAUCUACCUCCGAGUGGGGAAUAACUGAGAGAAAUCUUAGCUAAUACCGCAUAACACUUACGAGUCAAAGCAGCAAUGCGCUUGGGAGAGGAGUUCGCGGCCGAUUAGUUAGUUGGCGGGGUAAUGGCCCACCAAGACGAUGAUCGGUA
RNAcentral lists this ribosomal RNA (246 nucleotides) under uncultured bacterium. RNAcentral's name for it is "partial small subunit ribosomal RNA". It matches the Rfam family "Bacterial small subunit ribosomal RNA", at positions 26 to 285 of the family's 1533-position model. The record is from RNAcentral.